CCUACGGGUGGCAGCAGUGAGGAAUAUUGGUCAAUGGCCGAGAGGCUGAACCAGCCAAGUCGCGUGAGGGAAGAAUGUCCUAUGGAUUGUAAACCUCUGUUGUCAGGGAGCAAAGUCACCCACUUGUGGGUGUUGGAGAGUACCUGAAGAAAAAGCAUCGACUAACUCCGUACCCGCAGCCGCGGUAAUACGUAGGAUGCGAGCGUUGUCGGGAUUUAUUGGGUUUAGAUGGUUCGAAGGGGGUUUCUAAAGGCAGCGGUAAAAUCGUGGAGCUCAACUCCAUCCAGCCGAUGAAACUGAUGAACUUGAGUGGGCGAGAGGUAUGCGGAAUGCGUGGUGUAGCAGUGAAAUGCAUAGAUAUCACGCAGAACUCCGAUUGCGAAGGCAGCAUACCGGCGCCCGACUGACGCUGAAGCACGAAAGCGUGGGUAUCGAACAGGAUUAGAUACCCCUGUAGUC
RNAcentral lists this ribosomal RNA (459 nucleotides) under uncultured bacterium. RNAcentral's name for it is "partial 16S ribosomal RNA". It matches the Rfam family "Bacterial small subunit ribosomal RNA", at positions 338 to 795 of the family's 1533-position model. The record is from RNAcentral.